AUAUCUUUUCUGAAAUACUUGUUAAACGCAUUCCUGUGCAGAAAAUGUAUUGAUGCCGUUGUUAUUCCUUCAUAAUGUGCCGCGGUUGUAAAAAGUCCAUUACUGCCAGAAAAGGUUCAAAUUGCCGAAAGCGAGAAAAGCCGAUGAAAUUCUGAACGUUUGUAUUCGAUUACCUGGGCGGCGACUUUCACAGCACAAAACUCUUGUUUUUGCCGAUUUCACAUUUCUAAAAGCCAGAAUGAGAAACCUGUUUCUGCUUCUUGUGAAUAUUUUAGCCUCUUCCAGUCAAGAUCGGGUUUCUGAUGUGAGGAUGUGACGAACUGAAUUCAUGUCUGAGGACAGCAAGAACUGGAAAUGUGCAGAUCGAGUGUAAAUUUAAGUGUACAGGCGUGAAGGUGAGCGCUGAUGGAGGAGGAGGCGGAGGUCUGCUGGGACGGGGUUCAUGGACGAGUCCCGCUGGUCUCUGAGUCUCUCCUCAGCCCUCCUCGGUCCUGGGGAACCUUAUAAACCUGCUGCUGUGGCUGAAAUGAGCAGGACGAUGAGAGGAGAUCCAGGUCAGGACGACACCAUCAAAUCACCCCGCGGGCCGGAUUACGACCCCGUGGCGGGCCUGUCGUGGCCCUCGGGCCAUAUGUUUGACACCCCUGUUUUAUGAACCACGUAAAACCGUCGCAUCCUGUUUCUGCUCACGUUUUUAGACUUUUCUAUACAGAGGAGGAUCACCUCCACGGAUAGUUCAGCGUGCUGAUUUUCAGUUUCAGGGUAUUUUACUGCAUUCAGCUUCUGACUGAAACACUAGAGAUUAAAAUAAAAAAAGAAAAGUUGUUGCAGUUUGAGCGAAACAAAAAGAACUUUUCAAGCGUGUUGUGUCAAACAAAUAUUUAUUUUUUUGAAGCUGAACGAGGCUUACAAAGUCUUCGCUGAGUCUAUUUUUGUACAAAUGUAGAAAAGUGACGUUAAAAGUUUGUGGAG
Salarias fasciatus (jewelled blenny) is the source of this 972-nucleotide long non-coding RNA. RefSeq lists it as uncharacterized. The transcript has 3 exons. The record is from RefSeq and is a predicted model, not a curated record. NCBI's taxonomy places the organism in Eukaryota, Metazoa, Chordata, Actinopteri, Blenniiformes, Blenniidae.